AAAGCGGUUUCGGACGGGGUGGCUUAUUUCAUUCCACACUGCACAGAUGCACUGAAGUCUGUCAAGUAUGCAACGGAUGCAUGUCACAGUUGUUUACGGCCAUGCAGUGUCUGAGCGCUCUUUCCCAUUAAGGCACCAAGUUUCAGGCAGCAGUCCACUGGUUAUUUCUGCCCUCUCAAAGCAUCCUGCAGUCACUCAUCUCUAGUCCUGUACUUCACCUAUCAAUAAAAGGAAUUUGAAAUCUUUCAACACAGAGAUAUUAUUUCUGCUUCAACUUAUUUCAGGAUGCCACGGUUCAAAAUAAAAAUCCACAGACUGCUGAUGGCUCUGUCAAUAUCAGUCAGCUGCUAACAACACUUUAUUGGAGGUGCUUCAAGGUAGAGUGUAGGCACCUGAAACCAUCAAUAAAUGGAGAGAAAGUCCUGGGG
RNAcentral lists this long non-coding RNA (428 nucleotides) under Capra hircus (goat). RNAcentral's name for it is "lncRNA (ENSCHIG00000001833.1)". The record is from RNAcentral. Lineage: Eukaryota; Metazoa; Chordata; Mammalia; Artiodactyla; Bovidae.